CCCUUGAAGUAGGGGAUAACACUUGGAAACAGGUGCUAAUACCGUAUAACAACCAAAACCACCUGGUUUUGGUUUAAAAGACGGCUUCGGCUGUCACUUUAGGAUGGACCCGCGGCGUAUUAGCUUGUUGGUAAGGUAACGGCCUACCAAGGCGAUGAUACGUAGCCGACCUGAGAGGGUAAUCGGCCACAUUGGGACUGAGACACGGCCCAAACUCCUACGGGAGGCAGCAGUAGGGAAUCUUCCACAAUGGACGAAAGUCUGAUGGAGCAACGCCGCGUGAGUGAUGAAGGGUUUCGGCUCGUAAAACUCUGUUGUUGGAGAAGAACAGGUGUCAGAGUAACUGUUGACAUCUUGACGGUAUCCAACCAGAAAGCCACGGCUAACUACGUGCCAGCAGCCGCGGUAAUACGUAGGUGGCAAGCGUUGUCCGGAUUUAUUGGGCGUAAAGCGAGCGCAGGCGGUUUUUUAGGUCUGAUGUGAAAGCCUUCGGCUUAACCGGAGAAGUGCAUCGGAAACCGGGAGACUUGAGUGCAGAAGAGGACAGUGGAACUCCAUGUGUAGCGGUGAAAUGCGUAGAUAUAUGGAAGAACACCAGUGGCGAAGGCGGCUGUCCGGUCUGUAACUGACGCUGAGGCUCGAAAGCAUGGGUAGCGAAC
Molecule: ribosomal RNA, 659 nt
Filed under: uncultured bacterium
Lineage: Bacteria
Description: bacterial SSU rRNA
Rfam family: Bacterial small subunit ribosomal RNA
Source: RNAcentral